GGAUUAGAUACCCUGGUAGUCCACGCCGUAAACGAUGACAACCAGCUGUUGGGAAGCAACGCUUUUCAGUGGCGCAGCUAACGCAUUAAGUUGUCCGCCUGGGGAGUACGGCCGCAAGGCUAAAACUCAAAUGAAUUGACGGGGACCCGCACAAGCGGUGGAGCAUGUGGUUUAAUUCGAUGCAACGCGAAAAACCUUACCUACACUUGACAUACUUGGUAUCUUCUGUAAUCGAAGAGUGCCUUUUGGAACCAAGAUACAGGUGCUGCAUGGCUGUCGUCAGCUCGUGCCG
Molecule: ribosomal RNA, 292 nt
Filed under: uncultured bacterium
Lineage: Bacteria
Description: partial 16S ribosomal RNA
Rfam family: Bacterial small subunit ribosomal RNA
Source: RNAcentral